AUGCUUUACUUAAUUAUCAUUUGGGUCACACUUUGUGGUGUGUCACUUUACAAGUGAAGCUAUAAGGAUUGUUCCUCUCGCUAUCCUUUGCGCUCCGUUUGUGGUGUAUUUGGACGUUGGGGUACUAAAUUA
Molecule: small nucleolar RNA, 132 nt
Organism: Solanum dulcamara
Lineage: Eukaryota; Viridiplantae; Streptophyta; Magnoliopsida; Solanales; Solanaceae
Product: small nucleolar RNA snoR136
Exons: 1
Source: RefSeq, a predicted model, not a curated record